AAUUCUCAACCUCACCAAUUUUGUUAUGAAGUUGUGUGUAGGCUUGGAUGUGGGGGUUGCAGGUCCACUCUGUGGUCUGCUCCUCUGAAAUGUAUUAGUGGGUUUGGCCCCUAAUCUAUUGGUGUGAUAAUUAUCUACGCCGUGGAUUGGAAGGCUGUUACGACCUGCUUCUAACCGUCCUUCACAGGACAACUCUUGACAU
Molecule: unclassified non-coding RNA, 202 nt
Filed under: Coprinopsis candidolanata
Lineage: Eukaryota; Fungi; Basidiomycota; Agaricomycetes; Agaricales; Psathyrellaceae
Also listed under: 1 other name
Description: partial internal transcribed spacer 2
Source: RNAcentral